GCUGUAUUUUGUAAUUUAGUUAUGGCAUUUCCAAAGAUCUAUUUAGGUAAUAGAUCAUCGAGUACGUACACAACAUUGAUACGAUAUAUGAUUAAAAACUCUAACAUACCUGACGUUUAGAAAAUGUUUUCACCAUUAUAUACAAAAGACUUUUUAUUUGCACUAACACAUUUACAUACAAUACACUGACAAUAAUUGAAUAAGAGUGGCAAUGGCAUUUGCACGAAAGAAGACUUCACAAACGUGUGCAUUGACAAUUAACCCUUUUAUCAAGGUCCUUGAACAGAAAAUGAUACAUAUAAAAACAUAACAUGAAGUUUUCUUAUCGUAUGAGAGGAACACUUUGCUGUAUGAAAUGUUUAGAUAAGCAGGUGAAUAUGGCUAGCCAGGGCAAUUGUUUUUUCAAGUUGUGUGUUUGGCUUCAUUAGGUUAAUCUUUUUUUUAGCAAACGAGUAUGAUAAGUGAUAUUCAAUACACUUUUCUUGGGUUUCAUUUAUUACAUACAGUAACAGCAGUUUAUUUGAUAUUUUUCUAUUUCUGUUUGUUAACCAAUUGUUAAACCGCCGCAACAAACCUUAUACUUCAUAACAAAAGCGUAUUUUUACUUCAAAUGUCCCAAACUGUCUAUGAAGAUCUAAAGAAAAUGUUGUCUUAUCCUAUCAAAAUCUGUAUUCCUUCAGUUAAUUGAUCAACACCCACGCUAAACCUUGAGAUAGUUUGCCUCCUCUCAGCCGUUGAUAUUUUGAAAAAUGAAAAACAACAACCCUAUAAAAAAAGUAUCAAACUUACUACGUAAUUUUCUACGAUAACAACAAUUUAUACAUAGAUUAU
This 831-nucleotide long non-coding RNA is filed under the name Mytilus galloprovincialis (Mediterranean mussel). Lineage: Eukaryota; Metazoa; Mollusca; Bivalvia; Mytilida; Mytilidae. The record is from RNAcentral.